CCUACGGGAGGCAGCAGUGGGGAAUAUUGCACAAUGGGGGAAACCCUGAUGCAGCGACGCCGCGUGAAGGAAGAAGUAUUUCGGUAUGUAAACUUCUAUCAGCAGGGAAGAAAAUGACGGUACCUGACUAAGAAGCCCCGGCUAACUACGUGCCAGCAGCCGCGGUAAUACGUAGGGGGCAAGCGUUAUCCGGAUUUACUGGGUGUAAAGGGAGCGUAGGCGGUUUAGCAAGUCAGAAGUGAAAGCCCGGGGCUUAACUCCGGGACUGCUUUUGAAACUGUUGAACUAGAGUGCAGGAGAGGUAAGUGGAAUUCCUAGUGUAGCGGUGAAAUGCGUAGAUAUUAGGAGGAACACCAGUGGCGAAGGCGGCUUACUGGACUGUAAAUGACGCUGAGGCUCGAAAGCGUGGGGAGCAAACAGGAUUAGAUACCCGGGUAGUC
Molecule: ribosomal RNA, 440 nt
Filed under: uncultured bacterium
Lineage: Bacteria
Description: partial 16S ribosomal RNA
Rfam family: Bacterial small subunit ribosomal RNA
Source: RNAcentral